RNAcentral lists this ribosomal RNA (491 nucleotides) under uncultured bacterium. RNAcentral's name for it is "bacterial SSU rRNA". It matches the Rfam family "Bacterial small subunit ribosomal RNA", at positions 33 to 507 of the family's 1533-position model. The record is from RNAcentral.
GGCUACGCUGGCGGCGUGUCUUAGCCAUGCAAGUCGAGCGGACUUAUGGGGUAACUUAUAAGUCAGCGGCGGACGGCGGAGUAACACGUAGCUAACCUACCCUCUGGACGGGGAUAACCUACCGAAAGGUGGGCUAAUACCCGAUGUAGUCAUCCUGUAUAGGGGUGAUGAAAGGUGGGCUUCUGUUUACAAGCUCAUGCUGGAGGAGGGGGCUGCGGCCUAUCAGGUAGUUGGUAGGGUAAUAGCCUACCAAGCCGAUGACGGGUAGCCGGCCUGAGAGGGUGACCGGCCCGAGGGGCACUGAGAUACGGGCCCUACUCCUACGGGAGGCAGCAGUGGGGAAUCUUGGACAAUGGGCGAAAGCCUGAUCCAGCGACGCCGCGUGGAGGAAGAAGUCCUUCGGGAUGUAAACUUCUGAACUAGCCGAAUAAAAGGCCUGUGGACACACAGGAGAAGAAAGUAGGCUAGGAAAAGUCCCGGCUAACUACGUG